AUUUUGGACAAUGGGGGAAACCCUGAUCCAGCCAUCCCGCGUGUGCGAUGAAGGCCUUCGGGUUGUAAAGCACUUUUGUCUGGGAAGAAAUCGUACAGGCUAAUAUCCUGUGCGGAUGACGGUACCUGAAGAAUAAGCCCCGGCUAACUACGCUCCAGCAGCCGCGGUAAUACGUAGGGUGCAAGCGUUAAUCGGAAUUACUGGGCGUAAGGAGUGCGCAGGAGGUUUAUCAAGAAAGGUGUGAAAACCCCGGGCUUAACCUGGGAAGGGCACUUUUAACUGAUAGGCUAGAGUAUGUCAGAGGGGGGUAGAAUUCCACGUGUAGCAGUGAAAUGCGUAGAUAUGUGGAGGAAUACCGAUGGCGAAGGCAGCCCCCUGGGAUAAUACUGACGCUCAGACGCGAAAGCGUGGGGAGCAAACA
This 421-nucleotide ribosomal RNA is filed under the name uncultured bacterium. Its description in RNAcentral is "partial 16S ribosomal RNA". It matches the Rfam family "Bacterial small subunit ribosomal RNA", at positions 361 to 774 of the family's 1533-position model. The record is from RNAcentral.